UGAUAAAGAUGUUAAAAAAUAGUGGAC
RNAcentral lists this small RNA (27 nucleotides) under Bombyx mori (domestic silkworm). RNAcentral's name for it is "ovarian small RNA-8253". Lineage: Eukaryota; Metazoa; Arthropoda; Insecta; Lepidoptera; Bombycidae. The record is from RNAcentral.